UGCAAGUCGUACGAGAAAGUAUCCUUCGGGGUGCGAGUAAAGUGGCGAACUGGUGAGUAACACGUGAGCAACCUGCCUUUAAGUUGGGGAUAACCCUGAGAAAUCGGGGCUAAUACCGAAUGUGGUCCGGAGAUCGCAUGGUCACCGGAUUAAAGAUUGCCUCUCCAUGGAAGCAAUCGCUUAGAGAUGGGCUCGCGGCCUAUUAGCUUGUUGGCGGGGUAACGGCCCACCAAGGCAGCGAUGGGUAGCCGGCCUGAGAGGGUGUACGGCCACAUUGGGACUGAGAUACGGCCCAAACUCCUACGGGAGGCAGCAGUAGGGAAUAUUGCGCAAUGGGCGGAAGCCUGACGCAGCAACGCCGCGUGAGCGAUGAAGGCCUUCGGGUCGUAAAGCUCUGUCAGGUGGGAAGAAUCCUUCAUGGGUGAAUAAUUCAUGAAGUUGACAGUACCACCAGAGGAAGCUCCGGCUAACUCCGUGCCAGCAGCCGCGGUAAUACGGAGGGGGCGAACGUUGUUCGGAAUUACUGGGCGUAGAGGGCGCGUAGGCGGUCGGGUAAGUCAGGUGUGAAAUGUUACCGCUCAACGGUAAACCUGCAUUUGAUACUGCUCGACUUGAGGUCAGGAGAGGAGAGCGGAAUUCCCAGUGUAGCGGUGGAAUGCGUAGAUAUUGGGAAGAACACCAGUGGCGAAGGCGGCUCUCUGGACUGAUUCUGACGCUGAGGCGCGAAAGCUAGGGGAGCAAACAGGAUUAGAUACCCUGGUAGUCCUAGCCGUAAACGAUGGGCACUAGGUGCUGGGAAUAUCGACGUUUUCAGCGCCGAAGCUAACGCAUUAAGUGCCCCGCCUGGGGAGUACGACCGCAAGGUUGAAACUCAAAGGAAUUGACGGGGGCCCGCACAAGCGGUGGAGCAUGUGGUUCAAUUCGAAGCAACGCGAAGAACCUUACCCGGGCUUGACAUGUUGAUGACCGUCCUGGAAACAGGAUUUCCCCUUCGGGGGCAUCUUCACAGGUGUUGCAUGGCUGUCGUCAGCUCGUGUCGUGAGAUGUUGGGUUAAGUCCCGCAACGAGCGCAACCCCUGUCCCUUGUUGCCAGCGGGUAAUGCCGGGGACUCUAGGGAGACUGCCGGUGAUAAAUCGGAGGAAGGCGGGGAUGACGUCAAGUCAUCAUGGCCCUUAUGCCCGGGGCUACACACGUGCUACAAUGGCCGGUACAGCGAGAAGCGAUACCGCGAGGUGGAGCAAAUCUCUUAAAACCGGUCUAAGUUCGGAUUGCAGUCUGCAACUCGACUGCAUGAAGUUGGAAUCGCUAGUAAUCGCGGAUCAGCAAUGCCGCGGUGAAUACGUUCCCGGGCCUUGUACACACCGCCCGUCACGCCAUGGAAGCCGGUGGUACCCGAAGUCGCUGUCCUAACCCUCUUCGGAGGGAGG
This 1428-nucleotide ribosomal RNA is filed under the name uncultured bacterium. Its description in RNAcentral is "16S ribosomal RNA". It matches the Rfam family "Bacterial small subunit ribosomal RNA". The record is from RNAcentral.